CCCCCCCCCCCCCCCCCCCCCCCCCCCCCCCCCCCCCCCCCCCCCCCCCCCCCCCCCCCCCCCCCCCCCCCCCCCCCCCCCCCCCCCCCCCCCCCCCCCCCCCCCCCCCCCCAAAAUCGGGCAAAAAGCGGCAAAAAGGGACAAAAUCGGGCAAAAAGCGGCAAAAUCGGGCAAAAAAGGGACGAAAAGGAUAAACCGGGACCACCUGGACCGGGAAGGGACAAACCAGGACCACCCGAGACAAACCGGGACAAGCAGGAAGGACCGGGACUACCCAGAGACCACCCGGGACAAACCGGGACCACCCGGGACAAAGCGGAACCGGGUUUCGGGAACUCCUCCUGGCGCUAUCUCCAGGGUCGCUCUGUCCGUGUCACCGCUGAGGACGAGUGGCUCUGGUUCGAUGUCACCGACAGUGUCCAGCAGUGGCUGCGCGGCUCCGGUGAGGGACAGGCCCCAAACCCCCAAAAUCACCAAAAUCCACAAAUCGCCAAAAUCCCCAAAAUCCCACAAAUCCCCAAAAUCCCACAAAAAUCCCCCAAAUUGACACAAAAUUCUGG
RNAcentral lists this long non-coding RNA (560 nucleotides) under Ficedula albicollis (Collared flycatcher). Its description in RNAcentral is "lncRNA (ENSFALG00000025325.1)". The record is from RNAcentral. Lineage: Eukaryota; Metazoa; Chordata; Aves; Passeriformes; Muscicapidae.